AAGCUCUAACCAGUGUGAUAACUCAGGCUGGACCAAGAUAUUUGCAGAAGGAACUAAGCUCAUUGUAACUCCCCCAGAUAAAAAUCCUGAUGAGGACACUUCCCCCAAGCCCACGAUUUUUCUUCCUUCACUUGCUGAAAGAAAACUCCAUAACACUGGAACAUAUCUUUGUCUUCUUGAGAAUUUUUUCCCUGAUGUUAUCAAGAUAGAUUGGAAAGAGAAAAAUGGCAAAGCGAUUCUGGAAUCCCAUCAGGGAAACACCAUGAAGACAAAUGACACAUACAUGAAAUACACCUGGCUGACUGUGAUGGAACAGUCAAUGGAUAAAGAACACAAAUGUAUCAUCAAACAUGAGAAGAAUAAAGGAGGGGUUGAUCAAGAGAUUAUUUUUCGCUCAAUGAACGAAGAACUCACUGCUAUUAACUCUAGAAAAGGGUCUCUGGAAGAUAGAAAUGACCCCCUGCAGCUGCAGCGCACGAGCACCUCUGCCUACUACACCUACGUCCUCCUCCUGGCCAAGAGCGUGGUCUACUCCAUCCUCAUCGUCUACUGUCUGCUCGGGAGAGGAGUGCUCUGUAGCCACGGGAAGAGUUCUUAAUAGCUGCUGGCACAUUUUGGCUAUUGUCACUAAAAGUGUCUGCUGAGGAUCUAGCGGGGCUUCCUUUCUGGGUUUGGGUCAUUUCAGUUCACAGGUGUCUGCUUCUAUUGUGUCACUAUUGCAGAGCGGGUUCACAAACCCCUGGGCAAACGGGAAAGGUCACUCUGCACCAAGAAUAAAGUCUGCCGUGACUCAGGGUGGGGGUGCCGGAGGGCAGCCACAUGAGCUUCGGUGCCGCUGUCUCUUCACUGUCCACCGGCUCCUCAGCCACCCGGCACCCUGGCCUCUGAGCACAGCCAGCGAGCAGUUUCCCUAGUGUCCCUGGGGCCCUUUAUCCAGACACCUGCCUGAGGGCCUUUUGUUUUACACACCUGUAAGCUGCCAUCUUUGCUACUUGAACUUUGUACUGUUUUUCAUAACAGGUCUAAUAAAAACAAUCAAAAGUCUA
Molecule: non-coding RNA, 1046 nt
Organism: Hyaena hyaena (striped hyena)
Lineage: Eukaryota; Metazoa; Chordata; Mammalia; Carnivora; Hyaenidae
Source: the annotation of a RefSeq genome assembly